This 580-nucleotide small RNA is filed under the name Pongo abelii (Sumatran orangutan). RNAcentral describes it as "processed transcript". Lineage: Eukaryota; Metazoa; Chordata; Mammalia; Primates; Hominidae. The record is from RNAcentral.
UUCUGCAAGCUGCACAAGAAGCAUGGUGCCAGCAUCUGCUGCUGGAGAGGGCCGGGCUGCUUCCACUCAGCAAAAGGCAAAGGGGAGCCAAUGUGUGCAGAUCACAUGGCAAGAAAGGAAGUACAGCUGGAAGAGGAGACUGAGAACAAGUUGGGAGAACUAGGCUCCUCCGCUGAGAGCAAGGGGGCCUUGAAGAAGGAGAGAGAGGUGCACCAGAAGCUCCUGGCCGACAGUCACAGCCUGGUCAUGGACUUGCGCUGGCAGAUCCAUCACAGCGAGAAGAACUGGCACCGGGAGAAGGUGGAACUUCUCGACCGCCUGGACAGAGAUCGGCAGGAGUGGGAGCGGCAGAAGAAGGAACUCUUGUGGAGGAUAGAGCAGGGAAGCCUCCACAUGCCCCGUCCUGUGGCCAUGUGGCCUUGUGCAGACGCCGACUCCAUCCCGUUUGAAGACCGGCCACUGUCCAAGCUGAAGGAGUCGGACAGGUGCUCGGCCAGUGAGAAUCUCUACCUGGAUGCCUUGUCCCUGGAUGAUGAGCCAGAAGAGCCACCAGCCCACAGGCCCGAGAGGGAGUUCAGGA